RNAcentral lists this ribosomal RNA (425 nucleotides) under uncultured bacterium. RNAcentral's name for it is "partial 16S ribosomal RNA". It matches the Rfam family "Bacterial small subunit ribosomal RNA", at positions 354 to 796 of the family's 1533-position model. The record is from RNAcentral.
GUGGGGAAUCUUAGACAAUGGGGGAAACCCUGAUCUAGCCAUGCCGCGUGAGCGAUGAAGGCCUUAGGGUUGUAAAGCUCUUUCAGCUGGGAAGAUAAUGACUGUACCAGCAGAAGAAGCCCCGGCUAACUCCGUGCCAGCAGCCGCGGUAAUACGGAGGGGGCUAGCGUUGUUCGGAAUUACUGGGCGUAAAGCGCACGUAGGCGGACCGGAAAGUCAGAGGUGAAAUCCCAGGGCUCAACCUUGGAACUGCCUUUGAAACUCCUGGUCUUGAGGUCGAGAGAGGUGAGUGGAAUUCCGAGUGUAGAGGUGAAAUUCGUAGAUAUUCGGAAGAACACCAGUGGCGAAGGCGACUGACUGGACAAGUAUUGACGCUGAGGUGCGAAAGCGUGGGGAGCAAACAGGAUUAGAAACCCGUGUAGUCC